Molecule: long non-coding RNA, 1033 nt
Organism: Gossypium arboreum
Lineage: Eukaryota; Viridiplantae; Streptophyta; Magnoliopsida; Malvales; Malvaceae
Exons: 4
Source: RefSeq, a predicted model, not a curated record
AAUUUAAUAUUAAAUUAGGUUACUCUGUAAAUAUCCGUACAUGAACGGCUCCUAAAUGUAUCUCUACUGCUUGCUCGAGGCGAAAUUGGAGAAAUUCUAAAUUUUAACGUUGAAUUGAUUGGGAAAUAGGAAGCAUACUCUGUACACUUCAAUUUUGGGUUGUCUUUGGUUGUUUGUAUUGUAUUUUAUCCAAAAAGAAGAUGGGUAGCAGAAAUGGCGGUGGAGCUCCUACGAUGAUAAAGAAGAAGACAAUCCGAUUUUAAAAUGUCCUUCAACCUCGCUCUUCGCUCCCUUCUCACUACCUGUUCUAAAGAGGCUAGGAUUUGAGUAAAGAAUUUCCAAAUUUUACAAGUACAGAGCAAGAACGUCUCUACCAGCAUUUAUUCGGGUUCAUUCUUUUUUCCCCCUUCAAUUGCCAUAUAAAUAGUUCACUUUCGCAUGCAAUUCGUAUUCCAGGAAUAUCUUCUUAUUAUUUAUGUUCUCUCGAUCCUUAAUAGAAGUAUUCCUACUUCUCAAAAAUAAUAAAUCUAAAAGAGGAAAAAGUAAUAUAUAUUUCAACACUAUCUGGAACGAGUUUUUUUUUUUCUUAGAUUUUAACAGCGAGCUCCUUUUUGUCCAAUCCUUUAACCAAUGGCGCUACGGAUCAUAUUCCGGUCAUUACCACUUUGCAUGGGAGUAUAAAGGUAAAAUAUGGGGGAGGGAUACGACCAUUUAGAUUCUGGAGGUCAUAUCAUUCCUUGAGCUGUAAUUAUCUAGAAGUUUCACGAAGAUUUUUGGAUUAAUAAUGUGUCCUGAAAGACCCAGGUAGGAACUGCCCUUGAUACUGUGGGACAGCUUGUGGAAGAACAAUGUCUUGACCCUUUCUUUUCUGAUAAGUAGGUAUCUAUCUGGUUUCUAACAUUGUCUGAAUGUUGGGUGCUUAACUGAUAACAGUGGAUAACAUUUUUUUAGUUCAAUCCUAUUUCAACAUUUGCUGUUUCAGAUUGAAUUGUCAAAGAACUGUUAUAUUAGCUUCUUAUUCUGGAUGUUAGAA